AUGUCGGCGGAGACGGAGACGAGCGCCGCCGCGCCGGCGCCCGCGCCCAUGCGGUGCCAGCGCAUAGGCUGCGACGCCAUGUUCACUGACGACGACAACCCCGACGGCUCCUGCCACUACCACCCCUCCGGACCUAUGUUUCAUGAUGGCAUGAAAGAGUGGAGCUGUUGCAAGCAAAGAAGCCAUGAUUUUAGCUUAUUUUUGGCUAUUCCUGGAUGCGCCACAGGGAAGCAUACAACUGAGAAACCAGUCACAAAAGCUGUUUCUCUUAACUCAAAGGCAACCCCACCAAAGUUAGCUCCAAUCCAGUCUUCUAAGCAGGGUGUGGAAACCGAGGCCUGCUCCAGGUGCCGUCAGGGUUUCUUUUGCUCCGACCAUGGAUCACAGCCGAAGGCACAAAAACCAGUUGCUGUAAAUGGUACAAAUACGGAACCUGUCGAAAAAUGCUCAGUUCCACAGCCCAGGAAAAAAGUUGUUAAUAUAAAUGAGCCUAGGGUUUGUAAGAAUAAAGGAUGUGGUAAAACCUACAAGGAGAAGGAUAACCAUGAUGCUGCAUGUGAAUACCAUCCAGGUCCUGCGGUUUUCCAUGACAGGAAUAGAGGGUGGAAGUGUUGCGAUAUCCACGUCAAGGAGUUUGACGAAUUUAUGGAGAUACCUCCGUGCACAAAGGGGUGGCACAAUGCCGAUGCUGUGUGA
RNAcentral lists this ribosomal RNA (696 nucleotides) under Triticum aestivum (bread wheat). Its description in RNAcentral is "partial small subunit ribosomal RNA". Lineage: Eukaryota; Viridiplantae; Streptophyta; Magnoliopsida; Poales; Poaceae. The record is from RNAcentral.